AAUAAUAGUCCUCCUGACCGGAUGAGCAGUGCAGGUGUGGCGGUAGCCCCUGCUCCUCCUCCAGAUGCUCCAGCGCACGGAUCUCCUCCAGUACGUCUGCCGCAGGUUCCUUCUGACGAUGCAAAUAUGAUCAGUAUCAAAGAUGCUCACCAGAAUGACCAGCCAUAGUCCCAUGUGUGAGGCCUCCAGUCUUCAGGUCCCAAGCUGACUGUAAUCUGGAACACUUGUGUGUACAUCAUGUGGGCCACCAUUCCCAGAAGACCUGUUGAGUAAUCCACAUGUCCAUGUGAGGUGGGGACAUGGGUGGAGGCCUACCUGACAGCACGGUGAAGACUGCGGCGAAGGCGUUCAGUUUGAGUCCAUCGAUCACAUUACUGGAGUGAAAAAGCUCCAGGCACAUCAGACUGAAGCCAACGACCAGCAGCAUGAUGUAUAGCACCUCAGACACAACUGACAGCCAAAGGACACCUGCAAUACACACACACAUACACAGGCACACUGGUGAGCAAAGCGCUCAGCUCCUGCUCCAUAAUUCUCUUUGCCGCUUUUAUUCACGCGAUUAGAUUCAAGUGGAAUUUUAGCAACUCGCCCCCUGCUAAUAAAACAGACAUGGGCUGGACAUAUUUCUGCAUAUCACAUGCACUGUAAAAGGUGUUUUUUUACUUUGCUUAAAAAAGUGAGUAAACCUGUUGCAGUUAAAGGGGACAAGCUGACUUUACCUAAAAAAACAAACUUUGUAACUUGGAAUUAUGUUGAUUAAACUUAAUUUUUAUAAUU
This 777-nucleotide long non-coding RNA is filed under the name Danio rerio (zebrafish). RNAcentral describes it as "si:dkey-20j1.2 (ENSDARG00000096409.4)". The record is from RNAcentral. Lineage: Eukaryota; Metazoa; Chordata; Actinopteri; Cypriniformes; Danionidae.